GCAACCCUUGCAUUCCAAGGGAUUAGGCGCAAUUGGGAAU
Molecule: small RNA, 40 nt
Filed under: Sinorhizobium meliloti 2011
Lineage: Bacteria; Pseudomonadati; Pseudomonadota; Alphaproteobacteria; Hyphomicrobiales; Rhizobiaceae
Description: putative ncRNA
Source: RNAcentral